CACGUGAUGAAACAUGCACGGUGGACAGCAGGCUGGUAAGAACAGUGUGACAUGACUGUUUAAAGGCACUGAAUGUGGUAUUUUGCCAGGCUGGGACUUGAUCCAAAAGGAAAAUACUGAAGAGAAACAGAGAAGAAACAGACUGUGUUUGCUGGAAUUCAAGACAACAAAAGGACACUGAGAGAAGAGGACGGUGACCAGUGAGAGGCGAAGCUGGACGACUUCGACUGUGAGAAUAGAGGGUGUAAUUGGACUGAAAGUGAAGCUUGAACUCAUGAUGGUUUAGAGAUGUCCACCGUCACAAACAAAGAGUUGUGUUUCUAUAGGGGCGAAACAGAUCUGGAUCAAUUUUCCACGUGCAGCGGUCGGAAGAAACCUGUAGGUUAACUUGACUGGACAUGCCAAGAAGAUCUCGGCGACCACAGGAGGGGCGAGGAUCCUGGAGAUCUCGAGGUCCGAGACCACCAGAGAGGGUCUGAGCGAGGACACAAUGUAUUGCGACCUCUGGUGUUCCAGAGGUCGAGAG
Astatotilapia calliptera (eastern happy) is the source of this 526-nucleotide long non-coding RNA. NCBI's taxonomy places the organism in Eukaryota, Metazoa, Chordata, Actinopteri, Cichliformes, Cichlidae. The record is from Ensembl.